UAGGGAAUCUUCCGCAAUGGGCGAAAGCCUGACGGAGCAACGCCGCGUGAGUGAUGAAGGUCUUCGGAUCGUAAAACUCUGUUAUUAGGGAAGAAUAAAUGUGUAAGUAACUAUGCACGUCUUGACGGUACCUAAUCAGAAAGCCACGGCUAACUACGUGCCAGCAGCCGCGGUAAUACGUAGGUGGCAAGCGUUGUCCGGAUUUAUUGGGCGUAAAGCGAGCGCAGGCGGUCAAUUAAGUCUGAUGUGAAAGCCCCCGGCUCAACCGGGGAGGGUCAUUGGAAACUGGUUGACUUGAGUGCAGAAGAGGAGAGUGGAAUUCCAUGUAUAGCGGUGAAAUGCGUAGAUAUAUGGAGGAACACCAGUGGCGAAGGCGACUAUCUGGUCUGUAACUAACGCUGAGGCUCGAAAGCGUGGGUAGCAAACAGG
RNAcentral lists this ribosomal RNA (429 nucleotides) under Bacteroidota bacterium. RNAcentral describes it as "Bacteroidetes bacterium partial 16S ribosomal RNA". It matches the Rfam family "Bacterial small subunit ribosomal RNA", at positions 355 to 776 of the family's 1533-position model. Lineage: Bacteria; Pseudomonadati; Bacteroidota. The record is from RNAcentral.